UACGUAGGGUGCGAGCGUUAAUCGGAAUUACUGGGCGUAAAGCGUGCGCAGGCGGUUUUGUAAGCCAGAUGUGAAAGCCCCGGGCUUAACCUGGGAACUGCAUUUGGGACUGCAAGGCUUGAGUACGGCAGAGGGGGGUAGAAUUCCUGGUGUAGCAGUGAAAUGCGUAGAUAUCAGGAGGAAUACCGAUGGCGAAGGCAGCCCCCUGGGUCGAUACUGACGCUCAUGCACGAAAGCGUGGGGAGCAAACAGG
This 253-nucleotide ribosomal RNA is filed under the name uncultured bacterium. Its description in RNAcentral is "partial 16S ribosomal RNA". It matches the Rfam family "Bacterial small subunit ribosomal RNA", at positions 524 to 776 of the family's 1533-position model. The record is from RNAcentral.